AAAUCGGUAGACGCUACGGACUU
RNAcentral lists this transfer RNA (23 nucleotides) under Turnera uleana. RNAcentral's name for it is "partial tRNA-Leu". The record is from RNAcentral. Lineage: Eukaryota; Viridiplantae; Streptophyta; Magnoliopsida; Malpighiales; Passifloraceae.